AACGCGAAGAACCUAACCUGGGCUUGACAUAUAGGGAAAACCCGUGGAAACAUGGGUUUCCUUGGGAGGUCAUCAGGGGGGGCAUGGGUGUCGUCUCUCCCGUCGUGAGAUGUGUGGUUAAGUCCCCCAACGAGAGCAACCCCCCUCCUAUGUUUUCCCUGGGUAAUGCCGGGGACUCAUAGGAGACUGCCGGGGUCAAAUCGGAGGAAGGUGGGGAUGACGUCAAAUCAUCAUGCCCCUUAUGUCUAGGGCUGCACACAUGCUACAAUGGCCGGUACAAAGGGCUGCGAUACCGCAAGGUGGAGCGAAUCCCAAAAAGCCCGCCUCAGUUCGGAUUGGGGUCUGCAACUCGACCCCAUGAAGGCGGAGUCGCUAGUAAUCGCAGAUCAGCAACGCUGCGGUGAAUACGUUCCCGGGUCUUGUACACACCG
RNAcentral lists this ribosomal RNA (431 nucleotides) under uncultured bacterium. Its description in RNAcentral is "bacterial SSU rRNA". It matches the Rfam family "Bacterial small subunit ribosomal RNA", at positions 958 to 1392 of the family's 1533-position model. The record is from RNAcentral.